Long non-coding RNA from Limulus polyphemus (Atlantic horseshoe crab), 777 nucleotides. RefSeq lists it as uncharacterized. The record is from RefSeq and is a predicted model, not a curated record. Lineage: Eukaryota; Metazoa; Arthropoda; Merostomata; Xiphosura; Limulidae. The transcript has 4 exons.
CUCUGACUUUUAACUUAUGUUUGGAUUUAACGUUUAUUUUUCAAGAAGAGGAUAAGACCUUAGACCUAGAGAUCUUCAAGAAAGACAGUUUCGAAGGUGCAAAGAACACAGAUCAAAGAAGGCUGAAAAUUUAUGCUCCACGAUGUUCAAGGGAUGCGUUCGUCCGCUUUACCCUAUUGAACUCUUUGUUAUUAUUCCUGUAAAUCACGCCAGUGUCAUGCACCAUACUGGUUAUUACUGUCGUGGUCACUACUAUGGAAUUGGAGCCUCCACCUAAUACAGAAGCCAGAAUAACAUCGUUAACUACAAUUCUGGCUAUGAUGAAGGUCACGUGACUGGAGGUUUCUUCUGCGGGGAGAUUAGCUGUGGCAUCGAAAAUGUGAAGACUGGUUCUUAUGGUUGAGGAAGGCUGACUGUAAAUUCCGCUUCGUCAAUUACAUCGCUUACAUUCUAUUUUUUCAUGAUUAUGGUUGUGUUUAUUCUUCAGUUAUUAUUUCCUUCUAUCGUUUAGUUUAUCUAUGAAUUUUUAAUUGCCUUAAAACGCUAACUUACCUUCUAGCUACUCACUUGUAUUUUGAGUAAAUAUGUAUGUAUGAUGAAAUUGACACCAGGUUCCCUAGCGGUGACGUGUAGAUACUAUUAAUGUAGCAGUAGAGUAUGUAAAUUUAUGAUCAUAUGAGGUUGUACUCUCGUGACCUACUCAGUGAGUAAAUACCCUGCCAGAAGUUUCAAUAAGAGAGAGAAAGUUAGUGAGUUAUUGCUGUUUAUCAUUCGUUA